RNAcentral lists this unclassified non-coding RNA (275 nucleotides) under Hevea brasiliensis (rubber tree). Lineage: Eukaryota; Viridiplantae; Streptophyta; Magnoliopsida; Malpighiales; Euphorbiaceae. The record is from RNAcentral.
GUCAUAGUCGCGCUGAUCUAUUUAUGACAAAUUAAUAAUUGUGUUGUGUUGUGGGUUGAACACGAAUAAGCUUUACCCUAACUCUCUAUAAAUUGAUCCCACCACAUAUCUUGUAUUUUCAACUCAUGAACAACAAUCGAGUCAGGUCAUAGACGGCUUCCAGCAGAACCAACAAUAGAAGAAAGUAGAACCUACUACAUAAUAUAUAAGCACAAUUUCAAAUAUUCAACUCAAGGAGCACUGAUCAAUCACUCAACUGGGAAUUGAAAUUCAUU